This is a long non-coding RNA of Esox lucius (northern pike), 279 nucleotides long. RefSeq lists it as uncharacterized. NCBI's taxonomy places the organism in Eukaryota, Metazoa, Chordata, Actinopteri, Esociformes, Esocidae. The transcript is spliced from 3 exons. The record is from RefSeq and is a predicted model, not a curated record.
CUACACAGUGACCAUAAGUAACCUGACUGAAUAUGAUACUGGGACAUACUGGUGUGGAGUACAAAACAGGACAAAAGACGUGUUGCAUUACUUUUCACUGUUUACUGAGGUACAUCUCAAUGUGACUGAUUCUGCACCACCAACAUCAACACCUCCAGCAACAUCGAAACCAUCAGCAGCAUCCAUCAGCAUAUUUGGUAUCUUUGUAAUGGUGUUUGUGUCUGGGAUUCUGGUUGUGCUGUUCUCUCUCAUUCUGAUCAUUGUCAACAAAAGAAAAUG